Molecule: long non-coding RNA, 2614 nt
Filed under: Linum usitatissimum (flax)
Lineage: Eukaryota; Viridiplantae; Streptophyta; Magnoliopsida; Malpighiales; Linaceae
Description: long non-coding RNA (LUSI_LNC006005)
Source: RNAcentral
CACUGCACAAUUGUUUUCCAUUUAGAAAUCCUUUUACUUUUAAGACAAAAGUUUCCCUUCGUUCUUUUGUUUUCCACCAAAAAAUAAGUCAAGUAUGUGAUGCGGAUCCGGACUAAUAAAAGCCCCAAACAAUUAAUCGAAGUAUCUUCGGCUUUUUAGCUAUGUUGCGUUUUUAUCUCGUUCUUAGCAUGUCGUUGCUAGACUGGUGGAUUUCAAAUUAUCAAGGCCAACCUUUCAUCCUUUCUUCGUGGCACCAUUUGACUUGACACUUAGGGUUUCCCUCUUGUUUACAUGAGUGGUCAGAGUAUGUACGAAAAUCAUCACCUUUUUCUUGGAUUUGCUUGUCGGUUUGAAACCCUUCUCAAUUUUGUCCCAACGAUCAAUUUCUUAUCAUUCGGUUCAUAUUAUUUAGCAUCCGGUUCUAUUGAAUAACUAAGUAUCCUUUACUUCUUAAUCUUUCAAUUUUGAAGUUAAAAAAAGGUAAGAAGACCUAAAAAAUUUUCUUGACCGAAAUUUGUUGUUUUUAUUUCGGAAUUGUGGAUUUCGAAUUUCUUACCCAUCUUAGGGUUGGGAAUUCGAUAUUUGUGUAUCUUACUGGUUUAGUUUUGGUGAAAAGAAACAGAUGGAAAAAUUAACGAACGACGAAAUAGUCGAACAAAAUCAAAAGAAAAGAAAAAUAAUCGGCAAUCAAGAGGUCUCAAAAGCCUUAACCCAAUCACCUCGCCACACAUGUUUUGGUGUUAGUUCUUCUUAGUAUCUUUAAGUACAUGUGAAACCCCACACUAAGAGUUCUUGGCGAACCACUAGUUCAACCAAAGUCCUACUCAGGUCUCAACUUGAACCAUAACUCAUCUCUAAUCUACUAACCAAAGCAUUAAAACACAACCAAAAUACUUAAAUAAACUGAAAAAAUGGAAUCCCGGUUCCCAAAACACAACACAACAAAAGGAGAUACAACUCAAAUCUGAAAAAUACAUCAAAAUGAUAUCAUCUUAUAUCAAACCCCGACCAGCUCUCUCUCCACCAUCAACUCUAGUACAUUUGACUGAACACACAGAUGCACCAAGGAAAAUAACAUCUAACGGGGUCAGUGAGAAGCACUGAGUGACUAACUAGACUAGCGUAGAACAGAGAGUAUACUGAAAGUAUACUGAAAUUGAGGAUAGAAGAAGAAAUUCAUCCUAGUCACUACUCUAAUAACGUGACCCUAUGGUCCAGUAGGCAUGAUCCUACCAUCAGUCAGCCCUAACUAUAAUUGAUAGCCUCAUGAUGGAUCAGACCAUGAAACCACCCUGUAGACCGUAGAUAUCGUGUGAGCAGCAUCUGUGGCAUACUCGACACGUCCAAUAUAACCGUAGAAUAUCCAGAGGGAUUGCGCAAUCCAUGGCUGGGUGACCAACGCAUAUCAAGAGCUAAUCUAGCUAAACUUGACCUUGUCCUAAUCAUGAACUAUGAAUCAUAGUUCAACCAUCAUGAGCUUAUGCUUGAAUCAUAUCAUAAUAUAUGUAUAGUAGAUCACACGCUAAUGUACAGCCCAGAGAGCCCUGCUUUGUAUCAUAUCAUAAAUACCUAUAAAGUAGAUCGCAUGCUACUGUACAAUCCUGAGAGCCCUGCUCUGAAUCAUAACAAAUAAUAAUACCAGUACAAUAGAAUACACGUUACUGUACAGUAGUACAUGAAAUCCAAUCUUUGGAUUCCUGAAACCCUAAUUAUAAUUCUACGGUUAAAGUAUAAAAGUAACCUUAGACCCCCACCUCUUCUGAAGAGCUUACAUCUCUGAUUCUUACUUAACAUGAUUCCUCUCGCUGCCACAAAUCUGUAGCUUCUGACCGUGUGUUGUUUGGACUCAAAUGAUCGAGUUAUUCUCCAUUUACUUCUUUGCAAUAAUAAGAAACUCGGAAGGCCAGAACCAUCCUUUCACUUCCCAACUGGACAAAUUACAAAAUCAGCCCCUCAACAUUCCCAACUGCAGAUCAAUCACCAACUUUCUAGAUUUUACAAAUCAGUCCCAAACUUUACAGAAGUUACAUACGAUCACUUAUAUUUUCCAGACUUUGCAGUUCAGUCCAUCGUCUUCACCGGCGAGCUCCUCACCGACGACGAGUAGGUCUCAGCUUCCUAUGACUCUCCGACACGCCUCCAUUGCUCAUCGAUGCCAAGAAUGAUAAAAAACACCAAUAUAUGGAGAAAUCCCAAAACCUAAUUUCAAAAUUGAAUCUCUCAAAAGCUAAUAUGAAAAUCAUAUUUACCUCUGAUCGAUAUAGGGGAAACGAUCCUGAUAUCGUCCUUGUCGAUCUUCUGAAAUCACGAGAGGAUCAGAACUCGUUUGCACCUUCAAACUUGGAAUCUCCUUCUUCAAAUCGCAUUCGUCGACGGCAAAUAAAUUAAGUUUUGGGAGUUCUAAUUCUUCUGCCAAAAAAUCCUUAAAAUCAUUAUAUAAUGACCGUAUCACCUCGUGGCCACCUUAACACCACGCCCGUGGUGAACAAAUAAUCAUGUUCGUGGUGAACAAACAACCAUGCCCUUGGUGACUCCCACCAUGUCCAUGGUCAACAUCCCGUCGUGCCCACGGUCAAUAUUUCACCAUGCCCAUGACCAACUUCCUGUCGUGCCA